Eriocheir sinensis (Chinese mitten crab) is the source of this 1739-nucleotide long non-coding RNA. RefSeq lists it as uncharacterized. Lineage: Eukaryota; Metazoa; Arthropoda; Malacostraca; Decapoda; Varunidae. The transcript has 5 exons. The record is from RefSeq and is a predicted model, not a curated record.
UUAUCGUACUUAGAGCAUAGUAUUUACCUGUUUCUGACGCCUAACUAAUGCCAAGAAACAUCAAGAAUUAACUAUUUUAACGAUAAAUAUAAAAGAAUCUAGUUAUUGGGACCCAGGAAACAGUUUUUGGGUCGAAAGUUGGUAAAUAUAAGAGGUUGAGUACGACAAUCUGGCAACAUUGGAACUUGUGGCGCACGUCGCUCCCCGGAAGAAAGACGAAGCACGGGGAGCUGAUAUGUUGUGGAAGUUCGUUGAAGGAUUUUAUAACGUAAACGGAAUCGAAAUUAAGAAUAGUGGAUUUGAAUAGAGAUUGAACAUAAGCACAGUCGAGAGUAAAGACAGUUAAAUGGAAACCCAGUGGAAAGUAAAAGUAAUCGAAAUUAAUGGUACCUAGUGGAAUUUGGUAGAGGUUGGAACAGUGGAAUUUGGUAGAGGUUGGAACAGUGGAAUUUGGUAGAGGUUGGAACAGUGGAAUUUGGUAGAGGUUGGAACAGUGGAAUUUGGUAGAGGUUGGAACAGUGGAAUUUGGUAGAGGUUGGAACAGUGGAAUUUGGUAGAGGUUGGAACAGUGGAAUUUGGUAGAGGUUGGAACAGUGGAAUUUGGUAGAGGUUGGAACAGUGGAAUUUGGUAGAGGUUGGAACAGUGGAAUUUGGUAGAGGUUGGAACAGUGGAAUUUGGUAGAGGUUGGAACAGUGGAAUUUGGUAGAGGUUGGAACAGUGGAAUUUGGUAGAGGUUGGAACAGUGGAAUUUGGUAGAGGUUGGAACAGUGGAAUUUGGUAGAGGUUGGAACAGUGGAAUUUGGUAGAGGUUGGAACAGUGGAAUUUGGUAGAGGUUGGAACAGUGGAAUUUGGUAGAGGUUGGAACAGUGGAAUUUGGUAGAGGUUGGAACAGUGGAAUUUGGUAGAGGUUGGAUAUAAACACAGUCGAAAGUAAAGCCAUUGAAAAGUGAAAGCAGAGGAAAGUAAAAAUGGGAAGACUUAAAAUCAAUGGAAAGUAGAAAUAGUUAAAAAUAAAGGGAAGGGAAGGGUUUAUCCAACCGAAAGGAAAGGCAGUUAAAUGGAAGCAGAAUCGAAAGUAGAAAUAGUUGGAAGAUAAAAGAAAUAGGACAUAAACACCAUCGGAAAAAAAAUAAUUAAAUGGAAACGCAACCGAAAUAUAAACAGUUGAAAAUAAAAGCGAUAGGACGUAAACACAAUCGAAAGGAAAGAAAAAAACAAAAACAAAAAACAAAUGGAAACACAAGCGAAAGUAAAAACAAUUAAAAUAAAACGCAGUUGAAAAUCAAUACAGGUAAACACAGGUAAACACACUUAGGAGGUAUAAACAAUCAAACCAGGAAAGCUGCGAAAGAGAGAUGCGUAAUACAAGAAGAAAGGGCAGGGAAAGAAAGGUUAGGUUAGGUUAGGUUAGGUCAGGUCUCUUUUUCAGGCAGCAUCACCUCUCUGUAUCUCUCUUGACUCCUUGGUAAACACAGGUAAACACACUUAGAGGGAAUAAACAAUCAAACCAAGAAAGCUGCGAAAGAGAGAUGCGUAAUACAAGAAGAAAGGGCAGGGAAAGAAAGGUUAGGUUAGGUUAGGUUAGGUCUCUUUUUCAGGCAGCAUCACCUCUCCGUAUCUCUCUAGACUCCUUGGUAAACACAGGUAAACACACUUAGGAGGAAUAAACAAUCAAACCAAGAAAGCUGCAACAUCCCAGCCUUCCACCAUCACCGUUACAAUGUUAGCCUCAAAGUG